This 445-nucleotide ribosomal RNA is filed under the name uncultured bacterium. RNAcentral's name for it is "partial 16S ribosomal RNA". It matches the Rfam family "Bacterial small subunit ribosomal RNA", at positions 354 to 796 of the family's 1533-position model. The record is from RNAcentral.
GUGAGGAAUAUUGGACAAUGGGCGCAAGCCUGAUCCAGCCAUGCCGCGUGCAGGAAGACGCAUCUAUGGUGUGUAAACUGCUUUUGUACGGGAAGAAACACUCCCUCGUGAGGGAGCUUGACGGUACCGUAAGAAUAAGGAUCGACUAACUCCGUGCCAGCAGCCGCGGUAAUACGGAGGAUCCAAGCGUUAUCCGGAAUCAUUGGGUUUAAAGGGUCCGUAGGCGGUUUAAUAAGUCAGUGGUGAAAGCCCAUCGCUCAACGAUGGAACGGCCAUUGAUACUGUUAGACUUGAAGUACAAGGAAGUAACUAGAAUAUGUAGUGUAGCGGUGAAAUGCUUAGAUAUUACAUGGAAUACCAAUUGCGAAGGCAGGUUACUACUUGUGGAUUGACGCUGAUGGACGAAAGCGUGGGGAGCGAACAGGAUUAGAUACCCCAGUAGUCC